CCAAUAGCGUAUAUUAAAGUUGUUGCAGUUAAAAAGCUCGUAGUUGAAUUUCGGGAUCAAUAUGUUGGUCGUGCCUCGGUACGUACUAGCUUAUUGGUUUCUCCUUUCUGAAGAACCAUGAUGUCAUUUAUUUGGUGUCGUGGGGAAUCAGGACUGUUACUUUGAAAAAAUUAGAGUGUUUAAAGCAGGCUCACGCUUGAAUACAUUAGCAUGGAAUAAUGAAAUAGGACGUUUGAUUCUAUUUUGUUGGUUUCUAGGAUCGACGUAAUGAUUAAUAGGGAUAGUUGGGGGCAUUAGUAUUCAAUUGUCAGAGGUGAAAUUCUUGGAUUUAUUGAAGACUAACUACUGCGAAAGCAUUUGCCAAGGAUGUUUUCAUUAAUCAAGAACGAAAGUUAGGGGAUCGAAGACGAUCAGAUACCGUCGUAGUCUUAACCAUAAACUAUGCCGACUAGGGAUCGGAUGAUGUUAAUUUUGUAACGACUUCAUUGGCAUCUAUACG
RNAcentral lists this ribosomal RNA (499 nucleotides) under uncultured Glomus. Its description in RNAcentral is "SSU rRNA". It matches the Rfam family "Eukaryotic small subunit ribosomal RNA", at positions 591 to 1093 of the family's 1831-position model. Lineage: Eukaryota; Fungi; Glomeromycota; Glomeromycetes; Glomerales; Glomeraceae. The record is from RNAcentral.